Molecule: ribosomal RNA, 1218 nt
Filed under: metagenome
Description: SSU rRNA
Rfam family: Eukaryotic small subunit ribosomal RNA
Source: RNAcentral
AUUCCAGCUCCAAUAGCGUAUAUUAAAGUUGUUGCGGUUAAAAAGCUCGUAGUUGGAUCUCGGUUUCACUCAGGUGGUACACCUUGCGGUGUUCACUAUCUGGGUGGACGUUUCUGUUGGUUCGCUCUUGGUGCUCUUCAUCGGGUGCCAUUUGGUGGCCAGCACGUUUACUUUGAAAAAAUUGGAGUGCUCAAAGCAGGCGUUACAGCCUGAACAUUAGUGCAUGGAAUAAUGGAAUAGGAUCUCGAUUCUAUUUCGUUGGCUUUCGGAGUCGAGGUAAUGAUUAAUAGGGACAGACGGGGGCAUUCGUACUGCGACGUUAGAGGUGAAAUUCUUGGAUCGUCGCAAGACGAACUACUGCGAAAGCAUUUGCCAAGAAUGUUUUCAUUAAUCAAGAACGAAAGUUAGAGGUUCGAAGGCGAUCAGAUACCGCCCUAGUUCUAACCAUAAACGAUGCCAACCGGCGAUCCGUCGUCGUUAAUUGAAUGACUCGACGGGCAGCCUCCGGGAAACCAGAGUGUUUGGGUUCCGGGGGAAGUAUGGUUGCAAAGCUGAAACUUAAAGGAAUUGACGGAAGGGCACCACCAGGAGUGGAGCCUGCGGCUUAAUUUGACUCAACACGGGAAAUCUCACCAGGCCCGGACACCGGAAGGAUUGACAGAUUGAGAGCUCUUUCUUGAUUCGGUGGGUGGUGGUGUAUGGCCGUUCUUAGUUGGUGGAGCGAUUUGUCUGGUUAAUUCCGAUAACGAACGAGACUCUGGCCUACUAACUAGAAGGUCUAUCCUUUAUGGGUAGGCCUCUGCUUCUUAGAGGGACGGGCGGCGUUUAGCCGCACGAGAAUGAGCAAUAACAGGUCUGUGAUGCCCUUAGAUGCUCUGGGCUGCACGCGCGCUACACUGAAGGAAUCAGCAUGUUCUCCCCUCCCUGAAAAGGGCGGGUAACCCGUUGAAACUCCUUCGUGAUGGGGAUUGGAGAUUGUAAUUAUUCUCCAUGAACGAGGAAUUCCCAGUAGGCGCGAGUCAUCAGCUUGCGUCGAUUACGUCCCUGCCCUUUGUACACACCGCCCGUCGCUACUACCGAUCGAGUGAUUUAGUGAGGACUUCGGACUGGUCUUCAAGUUGGCUUCGGUCGGCUCGAAGUUCCGGAAAGAUGCCCAAACUUGAUCACUUAGAGGAAGUAAAAGUCGUAACAAGGUUUCCGUAGGUGAACCUGCGGAAG